UGUGGGGUCUGUAGCGCGGUGGUCCCACCUGACCCCAUGCCGAACUCAGAAGUGAAACGCCGUAGCGCCGAUGGUAGUGUGGGGUCUCCCCAUGCGAGAGUAGGGAACUGCCAGGC
RNAcentral lists this ribosomal RNA (116 nucleotides) under Escherichia coli. Lineage: Bacteria; Pseudomonadati; Pseudomonadota; Gammaproteobacteria; Enterobacterales; Enterobacteriaceae. The record is from RNAcentral.